This 377-nucleotide unclassified non-coding RNA is filed under the name uncultured Micrococcales bacterium. RNAcentral describes it as "contains 16S-23S intergenic spacer region". The record is from RNAcentral. Lineage: Bacteria; Bacillati; Actinomycetota; Actinomycetes; Micrococcales.
UCCGAGUUGACCCCGGCAGUCUCCUAUGAGUCCCCGCCAUCACGCGCUGGCAACAUAGAACGAGGGUUGCGCUCGUUGCGGGACUUAACCCAACAUCUCACGACACGAGCUGACGACAACCAUGCACCACCUGUAUACCGACCUUGCGGGGCACCCAUCUCUGGAUGUUUCCGGUAUAUGUCAAGCCGUGGUAAGGUUCUUCGCGUUGCAUCGAAUUAAUCCGCAUGCUCCGCCGCUUGUGCGGGUCCCCGUCAAUUUCUUUGAGUUUUAGCCUUGCGGCCGUACUCCCCAGGCGGGGUGCUUAAUGCGUUAGCUGCGGCACGAACGGCGUGGAAUGUCCCCCACACCUAGUGCCCAACGUUUACGGCAUGGACUAC